Molecule: unclassified non-coding RNA, 1252 nt
Filed under: Zea mays
Lineage: Eukaryota; Viridiplantae; Streptophyta; Magnoliopsida; Poales; Poaceae
Description: misc RNA Zm00001eb036120
Source: RNAcentral
CGGAACUUCAUUUCCCAGCCAUGGAUGUGGACGUCAAUCCCUAUCCUGGUGCACGCAUUCCUGCUGCCUCACACGCUCGCCCACCAGUGUCGUCUUCACCUAGCGCUCGACCUCCAGCUCACCUCUGCCCUCUCAUGCUUGCCGAGCUGCUCUCAGAUGGUUGCUCGCGAGUUUCUUCCUCCCCAACACCGUCAGCUUGCCGCGUCUCUGGUCCAGCUCCAGCUCGUCGAGUCCCUCUCUGUGUGCGCCAUGCAGCUCGCUCGGCCGCGACCUUGCCGAGCUCCGCCCCUGCUCCACGUCUCCUGGUCGGGCUCUCGUUCUGCGCGUGACGCCGCUGUUCCCUGGUGCUCCCUGCUCGACCCUGCUUCUUCUUCCUUGAGCCUCGCCGUGCGAGUUCUCCCUGGCUCAUGUGCCUACCGCCGUCGGCCCCAGUCUCUCGCUCGCAAGGUCUUCCCAAGCCGUCGUCUCCUGCCUCUGGCUGUCAAGCGCGACGAACUCGUCCCGAGCUCGUCACAACGUCUCAGCCCUGCGUGUCGCGCUAGCUCGCGUCUAUGGUCGCGUCCGCUGAACUCGCCAACGCCCUGUUGCCAGUCCGACUAUCGUCGCUACUGCGUGCCUCGCUGCGCGCUCGUUGGUGGUGCCGUCUGUUGUGCCCCUGCAUCCGCCCUUGUCGCUAGUGCCAACUCCGGCCGUCGCGGUAUCUGCUCCGUCCUGGCGCCCUGCGCUAGUGCUCUGCUUCCUGGCCCCGCCUGGCCUCCAGCUUGCUCAACAGUACUAUCCAUUUCGUCGUCAUACGUCUCCGCGUCAUGUACAAUAACGUCGUCGACCAUGCCUUCGCCUGCUUUGACGCGUCGAGCUCCUUCCCGUUGUGACUCGCGCACCAUCUAUUCAUCAAAAUGGAAUACUAAUGAGCUCCUCGCGACGCAGUUUCUCUGUGUCGUCGUUCGCGCCGGUAAGAUCCACGGUUCUGCUUUGUUCCAUUAAAUUCUCUUCUAGCACUAUUUUGGCUAGGUGUGGAUUUAUGUGUAUAUGUGUGGAUCUGUAAAGGAAGACGAAAGGGAAGCGCCAGUGCAACUUGUAACACCCCAGGUGUUUGCCUUAAAUUAAACUGCAAUUAUGGAUCCUUAAGAAAAAUAUCAGUUUGGAUCACUCGAAUUAGCGAAUGUAAAUUUAGGAAGCACUUGUAUUUAUAAUUCGGACCUCACUAGUUUGGAUCGACGUGUAUUCAAUUCAAAUUAAAUUUAAAAUUAAG